GAUGAACGCUGGCGGCGUGCCUAAUACAUGCAAGUCGAGCGAACAGACGAGGAGCUUGCUCCUCUGACGUUAGCGGCGGACGGGUGAGUAACACGUGGAUAACCUACCUAUAAGACUGGGAUAACUUCGGGAAACCGGAGCUAAUACCGGAUAAUAUAUUGAACCGCAUGGUUCAAUAGUGAAAGACGGUUUUGCUGUCACUUAUAGAUGGAUCCGCGCCGCAUUAGCUAGUUGGUAAGGUAACGGCUUACCAAGGCGACGAUGCGUAGCCGACCUGAGAGGGUGAUCGGCCACACUGGAACUGAGACACGGUCCAGACUCCUACGGGAGGCAGCAGAAGGGAAUCUUCCGCAAUGGGCGAAAGCCUGACGGAGCAACGCCGCGUGAGUGAUGAAGGUCUUCGGAUCGUAAAACUCUGUUAUUAGGGAAGAACAAAUGUGUAAGUAACUAUGCACGUCUUGACGGUACCUAAUCAGAAAGCCACGGCUAACUACGUG
Molecule: ribosomal RNA, 497 nt
Filed under: uncultured bacterium
Lineage: Bacteria
Description: partial 16S ribosomal RNA
Rfam family: Bacterial small subunit ribosomal RNA
Source: RNAcentral